UACAGAGGGUGCGAGCGUUAAUCGGAAUUACUGGGCGCAAAGCGUGCGUAGACGGCUAUCUAAGUCAGAUGUGAAAGCCCCGGGCUUAACCUGGGAACGGCAUUUGAGACUGGCGAGCUGGAGUCUGGCAGAGGGGGGUGGAAUUCCACGUGUAGCAGUGAAAUGCGUAGAGAUGUGGAGGAACACCGAUGGCGAAGGCAGCCCCCUGGGCUGAGACUGACGCUCAGGCACGAAAGCGUGGGGAGCAAACAGG
RNAcentral lists this ribosomal RNA (253 nucleotides) under uncultured prokaryote. RNAcentral's name for it is "partial 16S ribosomal RNA". It matches the Rfam family "Bacterial small subunit ribosomal RNA", at positions 524 to 776 of the family's 1533-position model. The record is from RNAcentral.